Molecule: transfer RNA, 67 nt
Filed under: Vasticardium flavum
Lineage: Eukaryota; Metazoa; Mollusca; Bivalvia; Cardiida; Cardiidae
Description: tRNA-Gln
Source: RNAcentral
GGGAGGGAAGUGUUUUAGCACACAGCGCCUUGGCUGCUGUAGAGAUAAGAUGUCUUGUCCCCUCCUU